AGAGUUUGAUCCUGGCUCAGGACGAACGCUGGCGGCGUGCCUAAUACAUGCAAGUCGAGCGAAUCUUAAGGUGCUUGCACCUUUUGGUUAGCGGCGGACGGGUGAGUAACACGUGGGCAACCUGCCUGUAAGACUGGGAUAACUUCGGGAAACCGGAGCUAAUACCGGAUAAUCCUUUUCCUCUCAUGAGGAAAAGUUGAAAGUCGGCUUACGCUGACACUUACAGAUGGGCCCGCGGCGCAUUAGCUAGUUGGUGAGGUAACGGCUCACCAAGGCGACGAUGSGUAGCCGACCUGAGAGGGKGAUCGGCCACACUGGGACUGAGACACGGCCCAGACUCCUACGGGAGGCAGCAGUAGGGAAUCUUCCSCAAUGGACGAAAGUCKGACGGAGCAACGCCGCGUGAGCGAUGAAGGCCUUCGGGUSGUAAAGCUCKGUUGUUAGGGAAGAACAAGUACCGGAGUAACUGCCGGUACCUUGACGGUACCUAACCAGAAAGCCACGGCUAACUACGUGCCAGCAGCCGCG
This 528-nucleotide ribosomal RNA is filed under the name uncultured Bacillus sp. RNAcentral's name for it is "bacterial SSU rRNA". It matches the Rfam family "Bacterial small subunit ribosomal RNA", at positions 8 to 519 of the family's 1533-position model. Lineage: Bacteria; Bacillati; Bacillota; Bacilli; Caryophanales; Bacillaceae. The record is from RNAcentral.